Biomphalaria glabrata is the source of this 2222-nucleotide long non-coding RNA. RefSeq lists it as uncharacterized. The transcript is spliced from 4 exons. The record is from RefSeq and is a predicted model, not a curated record. NCBI's taxonomy places the organism in Eukaryota, Metazoa, Mollusca, Gastropoda, Planorbidae.
CAGACGACCAAAUUUCCAGCAGAGAUAUGACAACGUCAAAGGCCGAGGUGUUGCCAAUAUAAAUAGCUCCAGUCUCGUUUUUCUGGCUUUUUAAUCGUCUGCUUCUAUGUGGUUGCCGAGACGGCUUGUUGUUAUUUUCCAAUUCAUUUCCCUAUGGCAUGUUCUAGGUACAUAAAAAUGUGGGCAUAUUAUGCAGUACUGAUUUCGGUUUUAACGACUGCAAUAGUAUCCCUAAAGAUAGAGGACAAACUGUUAAUCGAAGAGCAUCCUGACAGAGUCAUAUUUAGAACACGGCUCUGUCAGCCUAUCUCGUCAGAUGUUCUCCAGUCCAUUUUAGGAACCGACUACGAUCACACAAGAAUGGCGUCCACGUUGGAUCACGCCAAGCAGCUCACAAGCCGUCGCCGAAGGUCCCUACUCCCCGCAAAGGCAGCCGACUCCCAAACAACAGACGGCACUGGUAGCGAAAGUGACGCUGCCGGAGAAAACUGGUUUCUGAGACGACUGCAACACAGAGCAGCCUCAGAGCAGCUCUCGCCGCCGUGGGAGUGCAAGAUGGCGUACAGAACGAGACAAAACGGGAUCGGCAUGUUCCCGCAGUUCAUAGUGGAUGGCCAGUGCUUGACAAAGAAAUGCUUCUACGACCUAUACCAGUGUGACCCGGUAAAAUAUUCCAUGAAGAUCUUAAAGAAAGAUGUGAACAGAUGCAAUCCCAUGCCAGUCUUAUCCAAUGCCACUGUCUACGAGGAGCGUUGGACCAUUGUUACACAGCAUGUGACGGUAGCAUGUAACUGUGUCUCUUCCUACAGACACAGAUCUCCGAUACACAGAAAUAUGGUUCAGAAAGGAGGAUGACCCAUUUAGAACUUCUUAAUUGCUGCUUCACUUCACUAUCAGCGCUUGUUGACAGAUGAACACUUGGCUAUUGAGAUGAUAGAGAUUUCCUUCAGUUGGGAAAGUCUCUGCAGUGAAGACUCGGUCUCCUUUUAGUUUUGGAGAUUAGCUAAGAAAGUAAACUUGUUGAUUCAGCAAGCGUGAAAACUUCAGCAUGGUCUCAUCUUUCAACCUGGAGUACGAUGGACCUGAGAUUAACUAGAAUGGAAUAAAUAUCUUAUAUUGACAAGUUUUUUUUUUCUUUUUAGAAAAAAAAAUUAAGUCCAAUAGUUAUUUAUGUGUACCUAGUCAUUAUUUUUAAUGAUUAGAGCUCAAAUUAAACUGACUUAAAGUUGUCCAGCUGUACAUGCUAUUGUAUCUGUGUUUUUAUAUUCCUUGAGGCUGGAUGUUUAAACCUAUAUGAAUAGUGUUUAAAGAUAACAGAUGUUUUGGGUAGUGUACAUCAUUACGGAAACUAUCUCACAAUUCACAAGAGUAUGCACUCUAGUUGUCACCAAAAGGAAAGCAUAAGUUUGCUUUUUCUUGAAUAUUAAAGUCUUACAAUUCAAGACUCGCUACAGAAUUAAGUUUAUCGAAUUUUAUCAUAUUGCAAUUUAAAUUUAUUAACAAAAUGAAUUCUUAUUUUAUAUGUGAUACUACUGACAAAUGUACAGUUCGGAUUGUCUUUAGAAUUAACUUAUUCAUUCAAACUCUGUUGUUGUGAGUUUAAAUUGUGCCAUUAAUUGUUAUUACUUUUUUAAAGUAUUUGUAAUAUUUAUAAUUGUCUAUAAUAAUCAUCUUGUUUUUUCCCUAUUGGGAUGCUUUUUUGUUCAAUAAAUUACGCCUAUUUUAAAGGCAAAAUAUUUUAAAAAGUGGCCUAACACAAAAUCUGUUUAAAUUGGUGGUGUGACUGUGAAUGACUUAACAAUAGCUCUGACAGUCAAUGAACUAAGCCUAAUAGCCUAUGAAUGUUCUAAAUGAAUGAUCAGCCUAAGCAGUUUCUGCCAGUCACCCAUACCUAACUAAUAGUUUAGGAUUGUAAGUGUAUUUUCGCUUAUGUGUUAUAGACCAUGGCUUUUGAGAUGUUUCUCUUUUACUCCAUUCUAUUACGUCACGUGAUGGUCUGACCUAAGUAAAUGUUGGACAUUUUAAUUAAAAUUUUAACCUUGUUCGUUUACUUAAUAAAUUUUAUUGAUGUCAUUCAUAAUGUUGUUGUUAUUACUAAAACUGGGCACCACUGACUAAAGACAAAUUAUGACAAAACGGAAAAUAUAGACAUACAGACAUAUACAUAGAAAACUCAAGAACUUGUGGCUUUUAAGACUUACACUAAGACUUACAUUAAAAUG